Molecule: ribosomal RNA, 255 nt
Filed under: uncultured bacterium
Lineage: Bacteria
Description: partial 16S ribosomal RNA
Rfam family: Bacterial small subunit ribosomal RNA
Source: RNAcentral
CGGACGGGUGAGUAACGCGUGGGUAACCUGCCUUACACAGGGGGAUAACACUUAGAAAUAGGUGCUAAUACCGCAUGAGCGCACAGGACCGCAUGGUCGAGUGUGAAAAACUGAGGUGGUGUAAGAUGGACCCGCGUCUGAUUAGCUAGUUGGUGAGGUAACGGCCCACCAAGGCGACGAUCAGUAGCCGGCCUGAGAGGGCGGACGGCCACAUUGGGACUGAGACACGGCCCAAACUCCUACGGAAGGCAGCAG